UCUCUUUUUUUCCCAAACCCCUUUCUCAUUUUUGCUUUUUUCACUUUCAGAAAUCCACUCUCACUUAAUCACUUAAUCAAAAAUAGCAAUAUUCCAUUUCUUCAGACUUAAUCUGCAGAUGCCGAACAAAACUUAAUCUCUUCCAUUUCUUCUUCAUUUCCUCUGAUUUCAAGCUCUCUGCUUUUCUUCAGCGCCUCAUCUUUCUUCAGCGCCUCCUCUGUUGCAAAAUGAAAGAGAUAUGAAAGAAAACUUCAGAUCUAUCAAUCAAUUGGAUGUUCUGGGCAUUUCAGUUCAGGAUAAGUUUGUGAAUGGUCAUUUAAUUGUUCGGUCGUGGUCUGAUCCAGGUGUUCCAGAGGCUGAGUGAGGAUUUUCGGUCGAUCAGUUCAUAUCCGGGAGUAUCGAGGUAGCUGCACGGCAUCCGCAGCCCGGAUCUCUCCCUUCUAUCCUUUCAUUUUAUCCGUAUUUCCUAGACUGAUUAUGUAUUAGGCUGUUAAACUUGUACUAGAGGCUCGAGACUUGUGACACCGGAUCUGUAUGGGCUAUGUAGUAGUAUUAUCAUCUGAAUUUCC
Long non-coding RNA from Nicotiana tabacum (common tobacco), 569 nucleotides. RefSeq lists it as uncharacterized. The record is from RefSeq and is a predicted model, not a curated record. NCBI's taxonomy places the organism in Eukaryota, Viridiplantae, Streptophyta, Magnoliopsida, Solanales, Solanaceae.